GACGAACGCUGGCGGCGUGCUUAACACAUGCAAGUCGAACGGAAAGGCCCUGCUUUUGUGGGGUGCUCGAGUGGCGAACGGGUGAGUAACACGUGAGUAACCUGCCCUGGACUUUGGGAUAACUUCAGGAAACUGGGGCUAAUACCGGAUAGGAGCUCCUGCUGCAUGGUGGGGGUUGGAAAGUUUCGGCGGUUGGGGAUGGACUCGCGGCUUAUCAGCUUGUUGGUGGGGUAGUGGCUUACCAAGGCUCUGACGGGUAGCCGGCCUGAGAGGGUGACAGGCCACAUUGGGAUGGAGCAACGGCCCAGACUCCUACGGGAGGCAGGGGUGGGGAAUAUUGCACAAUGGGCGGAAGCCUGAUGCAGCAACGCCGCGUGCGGGAUGACGGCCUUCGGGUUGUAAACCGCUUUCGCCUGUGACGAAGCGUGAGUGACGGUAAUGGGUAAAGAAGCACCGGCUAACUACGUG
RNAcentral lists this ribosomal RNA (468 nucleotides) under uncultured bacterium. Its description in RNAcentral is "partial 16S ribosomal RNA". It matches the Rfam family "Bacterial small subunit ribosomal RNA", at positions 28 to 507 of the family's 1533-position model. The record is from RNAcentral.